GACGAACGCUGGCGGCGUGCUUAACACAUGCAAGUCGAACGGAAAGGCCCUGCUUGCAGGGUACUCGAGUGGCGAACGGGUGAGUAACACGUGGGUGAUCUGCCCUGCACUUCGGGAUAAGCCUGGGAAACUGGGUCUAAUACCGGAUAGGAGCCAUUUUUAGUGUGAUGGUUGGAAAGUUUUUUCGGUGUAGGAUGAGCUCGCGGCCUAUCAGCUUGUUGGUGGGGUAAUGGCCUACCAAGGCGGCGACGGGUAGCCGGCCUGAGAGGGUGGACGGCCACAUUGGGACUGAGAUACGGCCCAGACGCCUACGGGAGGCAGCAGUGGGGAAUAUUGCACAAUGGGCGCAAGCCUGAUGCAGCGACGCCGCGUGGGGGAUGACGGCCUUCGGGUUGUAAACUCCUUUCGCUAGUGACGAAGCUUUUUGUGACGGUACCUAGAUAAGAAACACCGGCUAACUACGG
This 464-nucleotide ribosomal RNA is filed under the name uncultured bacterium. Its description in RNAcentral is "partial 16S ribosomal RNA". It matches the Rfam family "Bacterial small subunit ribosomal RNA", at positions 28 to 506 of the family's 1533-position model. The record is from RNAcentral.